Molecule: ribosomal RNA, 446 nt
Filed under: uncultured bacterium
Lineage: Bacteria
Description: SSU rRNA
Rfam family: Bacterial small subunit ribosomal RNA
Source: RNAcentral
AGAACGAACGCUGGCGGCAUGCCUAACACAUGCAAGUCGAACGAGACCUUCGGGUCUAGUGGCGCACGGGUGCGUAACGCGUGGGAAUCUGCCCUUAGGUACGGAAUAACAGUGAGGAAUUACUGCUAAUACCGUAUGAUGUCUUCGGACCAAAGAUUUAUCGCCUAGGGAUGAGCCCGCGUUGGAUUAGCUAGUUGGUGGGGUAAAGGCCUACCAAGGCGACGAUCCAUAGCUGGUCUGAGAGGAUGAUCAGCCACACUGGGACUGAGACACGGCCCAGACUCCUACGGGAGGCAGCAGUGGGGAAUAUUGGACAAUGGGCGAAAGCCUGAUCCAGCAAUGCCGCGUGAGUGAAGAAGGCCUUAGGGUUGUAAAGCUCUUUUACCCGGGAAGAUAAUGACUGUACCGGGAGAAUAAGCCCCGGCUAACUCCGCGCCAGCAGCCGC